RNAcentral lists this long non-coding RNA (525 nucleotides) under Mytilus galloprovincialis (Mediterranean mussel). Lineage: Eukaryota; Metazoa; Mollusca; Bivalvia; Mytilida; Mytilidae. The record is from RNAcentral.
ACCCCUUAUUAAAGUUCACCUAUGAAAUCAAAAACGAUAAAAUGUCGUUCUUGGAUGUUGAUGUAAUUAAAGGUCAAAGAUUUACAACAUAUGGCAUUCUUGACCUCGAAAUACAUUUUAAAGAAACAAAUUCUUAUCUGUUUCUGCACAGAAAUAGCUGUCACUCACAGCAUGUAUUCAGAGGAUUUAUUAAAGGUGAAGCAAUACGGCAAAUUAGAAAUACAAGUGACCAUAACAAAUUAAUAAACAAUCUAACUAAUUUCAAAGUGAAAUUAUUAGAUAGGGGUUAUGAUAACGUGGAAAUAGAUGAUAGUAUUACUGAUGCUUUAUCAAUUGACCGUACUGAUUUAUUACAACAUACCAAAUCUAAAGAGAAGCAAAGUAUUCCGUUAGUUUUAAUAACUAAAUAUAAUCCAUAUAUACGUAAAAUAAAGAAACGUAUAAUGAAACACUGGCAUUUAUUACAGUUCGACGAAGACUGUGUACAAAUAUUCAAUACAGCACCAAUAGUUGCGUAUAGCAAAC